RNAcentral lists this ribosomal RNA (743 nucleotides) under uncultured bacterium. RNAcentral describes it as "bacterial SSU rRNA". It matches the Rfam family "Bacterial small subunit ribosomal RNA", at positions 94 to 823 of the family's 1533-position model. The record is from RNAcentral.
AGCGGCGGAUGGGUGAGUAACACGUGGGGAACCUGCCCCUAAGUCUGGGAUACCAUUUGGAAACAGGUGCUAAUACCGGAUAAUAAAGCAGAUCGCAUGAUCAGCUUUUGAAAGGCGGCGUAAGCUGUCGCUAAGGGAUGGCCCCGCGGUGCAUUAGCUAGUUGGUAAGGUAACGACUUACCAAGGCGACGAUGCAUAGCCGAGUUGAGAGACUGAUCGGCCACAUUGGGACUGAGACACGGCCCAAACUCCUACGGGGGGCAGCAGUAGGGAAUCUUCCACAAUGGACGCAAGUCUGAUGGAGCAACGCCGCGUGAGUAAAGAAGGUUUUCGGAUCGUAAAGCUCUGUUGUUGGUGAAGAAGGAUAGAGGUAGUAACUGGCCUUUAUUUGACGGUAAUCAACCAGAAAGUCACGGCUAACUACGUGCCAGCAGCCGCGGUAAUACGUAGGUGGCAAGCGUUGUCCGGAUUUAUUGGGCGUAAAGCGAGCGCAGGCGGAAAAAUAAGUCUAAUGUGAAAGCCCUCGGCUUAGCCGAGGAACUGCAUCGGAAACUGUUUUUCUUGAGUGCAGAAGAGGAGAGUGGAACUCCAUGUGUAGCGGUGGAAUGCGUAGAUAUAUGGAAGAACACCAGUGGCGAAGGCGGCUCUCUGGUCUGCAACUGACGCUGAGGCUCGAAAGCAUGGGUAGCGAACAGGAUUAGAUACCCUGGUAGUCCAUGCCGUAAACGAUGAGUGCUAAGUGU